Molecule: long non-coding RNA, 378 nt
Organism: Ictalurus punctatus (channel catfish)
Lineage: Eukaryota; Metazoa; Chordata; Actinopteri; Siluriformes; Ictaluridae
Source: Ensembl
CAACUUUGUCUUCUCUGUGCCUGAGCUCACACUUCUCCCCAGGUACAUGAAACAUUAUGUGCCUGUCGCCUCACUGGAGAACAAGCCUACACCGGAGAGCUAUAACCCUGGACAGGAGCUCAUAUGCUAUGUAUCUAAAUACAUUCCACGGUCAAAGUCUCUUGAGGUUGCGGUGUCUCCGACCCUCUUUGGAUACGUGGAGCUGAUGGAUAUGAUCACUAAAACGCAGAGUGAGUAAAACAGUUCUUACUAGAUUAGGACUCAAACUGUGCUGAUUAUAAACUACAGCUCACAUUUACUGCUAGUUGCUGAUGGUAGACAAAGGACCUUUAACUGCAGUAAUAAAAGUAGAAUUACGCAUAGUACACACAGUUUCCA